GACAGAGGGUGCAAACGUUGUUCGGAAUUACUGGGCGUAAAGCGCGUGUAGGCUGUUCUGCAAGUCGGGUGUGAAAGCCCCGGGCUCAACCUGGGAAGUGCACUCGAAACUGCAGAACUCGAGUCCUGGAGAGGAAGGCGGAAUUCUCGGUGUAGAGGUGAAAUUCGUAGAUAUCGAGAGGAACACCGGUGGCGAAGGCGGCCUUCUGGACAGUGACUGACGCUGAGACGCGAAAGCGUGGGGAGCAAACGGG
Molecule: ribosomal RNA, 253 nt
Filed under: uncultured bacterium
Lineage: Bacteria
Description: partial 16S ribosomal RNA
Rfam family: Bacterial small subunit ribosomal RNA
Source: RNAcentral